RNAcentral lists this unclassified non-coding RNA (329 nucleotides) under plant metagenome. Its description in RNAcentral is "partial contains 5.8S ribosomal RNA, internal transcribed spacer 2, and large subunit ribosomal RNA". The stretch from base 1 to 105 matches the Rfam family "5.8S ribosomal RNA", at positions 50 to 154 of the family's 154-position model. The record is from RNAcentral.
GAAAUGCGAUAAGUAAUGUGAAUUGCAGAAUUCCGUGAAGCAUCGAAUCUUUGAACGCACAUUGCGCCCUCUGGUAUUCCGGGGGGCAUGCCUGUCCGAGCGUCAUUGCGAACCCCUCAAGCACGGCUUGUGUGAUGGGCCCUCCCGCGUCUUGGUCGUCAAGACGGGCCCGAAAAGCAGUGGCGGCUUCGCGGUUAUCCGAUCAGCCAGAGCGUAUGGGGACUUUCUCUCUGUCACACGCCCGCGGCGCGGACCGACGCCUGUCGACCUUUAUUCAUCUUUUUCUCGGUUGACCUCGGAUCAGGUAGGGAUACCCGCUGAACUUCAGC